This 90-nucleotide transfer RNA is filed under the name Candidatus Moraniibacteriota bacterium. RNAcentral describes it as "tRNA-Ser". It matches the Rfam family "tRNA". From Rfam's summary of the family: Transfer RNA (tRNA) molecules are approximately 80 nucleotides in length. Their secondary structure includes four short double-helical elements and three loops (D, anti-codon, and T loops). The record is from RNAcentral. Lineage: Bacteria; Candidatus Moraniibacteriota.
GGAAGGGUCGCAUAGUGGCCGAGUGCGCCUGCUUGGAAAGCAGGUAUACUGUAACAGGUAUCGGGAGUUCGAAUCUCCCCCCUUCCGCCU